RNAcentral lists this ribosomal RNA (383 nucleotides) under uncultured eukaryote. Its description in RNAcentral is "partial 18S ribosomal RNA". It matches the Rfam family "Eukaryotic small subunit ribosomal RNA", at positions 592 to 976 of the family's 1831-position model. The record is from RNAcentral.
CAAUAGCGUAUAUUAAAGUUGUUGCAGUUAAAAAGCUCGUAGUUGGAUUUCUGGCAGGAGCGACCGGUCACACACUCUGUGUGUGAACUUGCGUUGUCUCUGGCCAUCCUUGGGAAGAUCCUGUUUGGCAUUAAGUUGUCGGGCAGGGGAUACCCAUCGUUUACUGUGAAAAAAUUAGAGUGUUUAAAGCAGGCUUAUGCCGUUGAAUAUAUUAGCAUGGAAUAAUAAGAUAGGACUUCGGAACUAUUUUGUUGGUUUGCGUUACGAAGUAAUGAUUAAUAGGGACAGUUGGGGGUAUUCGUAUUUCGUUGUCAGAGGUGAAAUUCUUGGAUUUCCGAAAGACGAACUACUGCGAAAGCAUUAACCAAGGAUGUUUUCAUUAA